GACGAACGCUGGCGGCGUGCUUAACACAUGCAAGUCGAACGAAGUGGCGAACGGGUGAGUAACGCGUAAUCAACCUGCCCUUCAGAGGGGGACAACAGUUGGAAACGACUGCUAAUACCGCAUACUGAAGGUGGGGAUUGCGUCUGAUUAGCUAGUUGGAGGGGUAACGGCCCACCAAGGCGAUCAUCAGUAGCCGGACUGAGAGGAUGAACGGCCAAAAUGGGACUGGUACACGGCCCAGGAUCCUAAGGGAGGCCACAGUGGGGAAUCUUCCGCAAUGGACGAAAGUCUGACGGAGCAACGGCGCGUGAGUGAUGAAAGCCUUCGGGUUGUAAAGCUCUGUUAAUCGGGACGCGGUACCGGAAGAGAAAGCCACGGCUAACUACGUGCCAGCAGCCGCGGUAAUUC
This 408-nucleotide ribosomal RNA is filed under the name uncultured bacterium. RNAcentral's name for it is "partial 16S ribosomal RNA". It matches the Rfam family "Bacterial small subunit ribosomal RNA", at positions 28 to 526 of the family's 1533-position model. The record is from RNAcentral.